This is a long non-coding RNA of Mauremys mutica (yellowpond turtle), 293 nucleotides long. RefSeq lists it as uncharacterized. NCBI's taxonomy places the organism in Eukaryota, Metazoa, Chordata, Testudines, Geoemydidae. The transcript has 3 exons. The record is from RefSeq and is a predicted model, not a curated record.
UGGGGAAGAAAUCAGGGGGGUGGGUCUGACCCAGUCCCAGAUGCCGUGCAGGAGAAGAACCAACUCAGGACAUCUGAAUACCUGGUCCUGCAACCCUUAUGAGAAAAGUCCUUAAUCACAUGAGUAGCCCAACUGAAAUCAGUGGAACUACUUGGGCAUGAGGACUACUCCUACUUUUUUGCAUCAGAGCUGAAAGAAAAUGCAGAAAAGCAUUGCGUCACCUUUGGACUUCAGCUUGACAAGAUGCAUUUAUUUCAAUGACAACUACAUGUGGUUAUUCUGAAGAAAGGCAG